This 72-nucleotide transfer RNA is filed under the name Bos taurus (domestic cattle). It matches the Rfam family "tRNA". Rfam says of the family: Transfer RNA (tRNA) molecules are approximately 80 nucleotides in length. Their secondary structure includes four short double-helical elements and three loops (D, anti-codon, and T loops). RNAcentral also lists the same sequence under 4 other names. The record is from Rfam by way of RNAcentral. Lineage: Eukaryota; Metazoa; Chordata; Mammalia; Artiodactyla; Bovidae.
UCCCUGGUGGCUCAAUUGGUAAAGAAUCUGCCUGUAAUGCAGAAGACCUGGGUUCAAUCCCUGGGUUGGGAA